UGGGGAAUUUUGGACAAUGGGCGAAAGCCUGAUCCAGCAAUGCCGCGUGUGUGAAGAAGGCCUUCGGGUUGUAAAGCACUUUUGUCCGGAAAGAAAUCCUUGGCUCUAAUACAGUCGGGGGAUGACGGUACCGGAAGAAUAAGCACCGGCUAACUACGUGCCAGCAGCCGCGGUAAUACGUAGGGUGCAAGCGUUAAUCGGAAUUACUGGGCGUAAAGCGUGCGCAGGCGGUUUGCUAAGACCGAUGUGAAAUCCCCGGGCUCAACCUGGGAACUGCAUUGGUGACUGGCAGGCUAGAGUAUGGCAGAGGGGGGUAGAAUUCCACGUGUAGCAGUGAAAUGCGUAGAGAUGUGGAGGAAUACCGAUGGUGAAGGCAGCCCCCUGGGCCAAUACUGACGCUCAUGCACGAAAACGUGGGGAGCAAAACAGGAUUAGAUACCCUGGUAGUCCACGCCCUAAACGAUGUCAACUAGUUGUUGGGGAUUCAUUUCCUUAGUAACGUAGCUAACGCGUGAAGUUGACCGCCUGGGGAGUACGGUCGCAAGAUUAAAACUCAAAUGAAUUGACGGGGUCAUAGCUGUUUCCU
RNAcentral lists this ribosomal RNA (586 nucleotides) under uncultured bacterium. RNAcentral's name for it is "partial 16S ribosomal RNA". It matches the Rfam family "Bacterial small subunit ribosomal RNA", at positions 355 to 1375 of the family's 1533-position model. The record is from RNAcentral.